This 1282-nucleotide ribosomal RNA is filed under the name Vibrio cholerae. RNAcentral's name for it is "partial 23S ribosomal RNA". It matches the Rfam family "Bacterial large subunit ribosomal RNA", at positions 1 to 1332 of the family's 2925-position model. Lineage: Bacteria; Pseudomonadati; Pseudomonadota; Gammaproteobacteria; Vibrionales; Vibrionaceae. The record is from RNAcentral.
GUUGUAUGGUUAAGUGACUAAGCGUACACGGUGGAUGCCUGGGCAGUCAGAGGCGAUGAAGGACGUACUAACUUGCGAUAAGCGCAGAUAAGGCAGUAAGAGCCGUUUGAGUCUGCGAUUUCCGAAUGGGGAAACCCAACUGCAUAAGCAGUUACUGUUAACUGAAUACAUAGGUUAACAGAGCAAACCGGGGGAACUGAAACAUCUAAGUACCCCGAGGAGAAGAAAUCAACCGAGAUUCCGGUAGUAGCGGCGAGCGAACCUGGAUUAGCCCUUAAGCACUCGGUGAAGUAGGUGAACAAGCUGGAAAGCUUGGCGAUACAGGGUGAUAGCCCCGUAACCGACGCUUCAUCGAGCGUGAAAUCGAGUAGGGCGGGACACGUGAUAUCCUGUCUGAAUAUGGGGGGACCAUCCUCCAAGGCUAAAUACUCCUGACUGACCGAUAGUGAACCAGUACCGUGAGGGAAAGGCGAAAAGAACCCCUGUGAGGGGAGUGAAAUAGAACCUGAAACCGUGUACGUACAAGCAGUAGGAGCACCUUCGUGGUGUGACUGCGUACCUUUUGUAUAAUGGGUCAGCGACUUAUAUUCAGUGGCAAGGUUAACCGUAUAGGGGAGCCGUAGCGAAAGCGAGUCUUAACUGGGCGCUCAGUCUCUGGAUAUAGACCCGAAACCGGGUGAUCUAGCCAUGGGCAGGUUGAAGGUUGAGUAACAUCAACUGGAGGACCGAACCGACUAAUGUUGAAAAAUUAGCGGAUGACUUGUGGCUAGGGGUGAAAGGCCAAUCAAACUCGGAGAUAGCUGGUUCUCCCCGAAAGCUAUUUAGGUAGCGCCUCGGACGAAUACUACUGGGGGUAGAGCACUGUUAAGGCUAGGGGGUCAUCCCGACUUACCAACCCUUUGCAAACUCCGAAUACCAGUAAGUACUAUCCGGGAGACACACGGCGGGUGCUAACGUCCGUCGUGGAGAGGGAAACAACCCAGACCGCCAGCUAAGGUCCCAAAGUAUUGCUAAGUGGGAAACGAUGUGGGAAGGCUCAGACAGCUAGGAUGUUGGCUUAGAAGCAGCCAUCAUUUAAAGAAAGCGUAAUAGCUCACUAGUCGAGUCGGCCUGCGCGGAAGAUGUAACGGGGCUAAGCAAUACACCGAAGCUGCGGCAAUGUCUUUUAGAUAUUGGGUAGGGGAGCGUUCUGUAAGCCGUUGAAGGUGGAUCGUAAGGUUUGCUGGAGGUAUCAGAAGUGCGAAUGCUGACAUGAGUAACGACAAAGGGGGUGAAAAACCUC